UGGGAUACUUGCAGAAAGACCAACAAUGGGAACGUUUUUACAAUUUUCACCAUCUAAUCUAUCACUAAAUUCACUUCUGUGAACGUUUUAGGCAAGAAAUUAAAUGUGUAGAUUUCAAAUACAGGCUGUCUUAU
Molecule: long non-coding RNA, 134 nt
Organism: Etheostoma cragini (Arkansas darter)
Lineage: Eukaryota; Metazoa; Chordata; Actinopteri; Perciformes; Percidae
Exons: 3
Source: RefSeq, a predicted model, not a curated record